UAGGUAAGGCCCGAGAAGGUCGUGGUUAAAAAAAUAACCGAAACGUCCGCGGGACCUGUCACAAUUAACGCAGCCCGGCAAUAAAAUGGAAAACUUACGAGUACACACGUCACGGCCAGUCUAAAUAUUCGAUUUCUACGGUGCCACUUACGGAUUCUUCGAUCAUUCCGCCGCGCUCGAGGCGAAGCUGGGCGAAGCCACUUAAUAAGGGACGAGCUUGCGCCGUUUUCUCGAAAGACCCCUUUUCCGUACUUGUGAAAGGAAAUCUUUUCGUGGACGGUGACGUUAAUGCAUCGAAAACCCUCGACGACGCUCGAUUCUUUGAUAAUAACGAUAAGGGGAAUUUCUAAGCUAUUCUUCGGGAUAUUUUCAACAACGUUAGUUGAUAUUUCGUCACUGUUACUAAUGUUUUCUUUUGGUGGGUGAGGAAUAACCUCAAAAUCUCUGUCAUCCCUUUUCCUUUUAAAUCACUUAUUGCGACGGUUCCUAUUUUUCUCCUUAUUCGUGCUUUAUUAAAAUUUACAGUAUUCCAUUUAAUCAUUUUUUUAAAAAAAAAGAAAAAAUAGUAAUCGCAACUGAUGCACACUCGCGUCUCGGUCGAUAACUUCGUAUCUUUGUCGCUUUCCAUUCUUGUUUAUUACCGAAAAAGGAAGAAAUGCUAGUUCGGGGAUAGGACGCCACGGGUAACAUUUGUUUCGGCUUAGAAGGGGGUCCCCAGGCUGUAGGUGGUUUCCACGAUAGGGAACCUCGGGUCCUGGGCCAUCUGGAACGACUUAAAACACGGAGAGAAUGGGAGAGACAAAGAUGAGCCUGCCGAAAGUCUUUCGUGCUAGCGAUCCAGCGAAUGUCCUUUUUCUUUCGACCUCGUGCCCUUUAUGUCCACCUUCCUUCGGAUGUGUACGACGUACACUGUACGUGAGCAGAAAGGGACGAGUCGGAUCGGAAAGGAUGGCCGAGAUAACCUCAUGCUCUCUUCCAUUCUCUAGAUGAACUCGUAAAUGGGUCUAGAAUGUCUAGAUUAACCUAUGGAUUACCGAUCGAAUAUUCAAACAUGGCCACCAGUCGCUCGGUAGGUAAAAGUGGAAGUCGUUUCGACAACGAUUUCAAAAGUCGCCGUUCACCUAAGGCCUGAGUAAGUACAUCAAUCCACGGCUUAUACCGGCUUUAGCUGAAUAACGCCACCAGACGAUCCGACGGAUAAUCGUCCUCAUUGAGGAAUGCCAAUCUGGUCUGGAAACUCCCAAUCUUGACUUUCCGACGGAUUUGCCGAAUUUCCAUUGUUACGCAGUAGGCUGGGUGCUGCGAAGCUUUGUUCUUGUCUAAUGACCUACGACACUUAAUCGUGGUAAAGUCUGGACUACGUUAAUUAUAUCGGUAGCUAUCUUCACAAAGGUUCCUUUCAACUGGAGAAUUCUCUGUCUAAUAUUGGCGUCUACUUAUGCAAACUUUUUUUUUGUUGCCUUUAUCGGUACGAAAGUAACCUUAACCUCUUCGUACAUCGGAAAUAACAUCGGUGCAGCCAAACCAUAAAAUUUGUACCCCUCUUUUGGAAGGAUUCUCUAGUUCAUUAUCUCUAGUUUCAUUAUCGACAGUAAUUAUAAUUAUAAAAAUCUAGACGUCUACAUACCAAGGGCGCGAAGAGGUUAUGUUAACUUAUCAAUGUAGGUCUCUGUUUACUCCUGAAAUUGGGUAUAUUAAAUUAGUAAGGUAAUAUUUGUACAGAUUUAAAUAUCUACGGAAUUAUUACCAACUCUUUCGCGUUCCAUUUGAACGAUGGAUUAGUUGUUGCAGCAAUCUAUGUUACCGAUUUACUCGAAGGUAAUCGACGGUCGCUCGCGAAAGUCGAGAUCGGGUAAAUAUACUUUUUUCGGUUUAUCCGUCAACGUUUUUUUUUAGGAUUUCGAAGCGUUAGAAGAAAAAUUCUCUUCUUCCGCGCAGAAGACGGAAGUAGAAAGAGAGAGAGAGAGGGAGAGAGAGACGGAGCUUGGUGGCGAUGGUAGAGAAGGAAGAGGUUUCGAUGGCGAACAACAUCAAAGGGAAGCGACAACGGAUAUGCGUAAACCUCGAGAGCUGCGAAUGCCGAAAAACCGACAGAGGUUCGAGGAAAGACAUAGGCCACCUUUAACGUCGUACAAUUUCCAAGAGGACCAUGUUCGUUACAGGAAAGACAUAGGCCACCUUUAACGUCGUACAAUUUCCAAGAGGGCCAUGUUCGUUACAGGAAGGAAACCUGAAGGACAACCCGCAGCACCGCGUCAUACGCAAGGUUCCACAGAAGCGGUCCGAGGACCGACCCCUGCGGAACUCCGCGGUGCGUCUCCAUCGUGUGCACAACCUGGUACCGGCCGGUAAAUACUACCUCCCUGCCGCGGAGAUAGUCCCAAACCACCUCCAGGAGAUAAGGUGGAAACCUCACCUGGAAAUAAUCCAGCGCCACCGCUAUCUCCCUCCAGGGCAGGGUAUCGAAGGCGUUGGAUAUGUCCAACGACACAGCAAUCAACACCCGGCCCCGAGCGACAGCCCUUUCCUGGAGGAGGCGCAAACGCUCCAACGCGUCCAUCGUUGAGCGACCCCUCCGAGUCCGUCACCCCUGCGGCUGUUUUCACGCAAAACAAAGAAAACCCGUCCUCCCCUCCCGUCGAUAUUCCUUCGUUCCCUUCCCGAAGGGCGGCACUCCACCCUGCCUAGCCACCCUCUCCUUCGUCGACCUGCGCCUUUCUUCGAUCGCGGCUCGAAAGUUCGCAGCCCGCGGUUAUGGGAGCGAGGGGAGACGGAAAGCGUCGUCACCAUUAGCUCGCUGGACAGCCUUCCAAUUACGGAAAUGGUGGGACCCGGGGCGUGGAGGGGUUGACGAGAGGAAAAGUGUCGUUGAUAGGCAGCCUAGGGACACGCGAAGGGUUGAGAUAUGAUUCCCUUCCAUUUUUAUUUUGGUAGAUUGGAAGAGUUUCUAUCACGUUGAUAAUAUUAGUACAAGAUUUCUUAUACCUCUGUAACAAUUCCUCCAUUCUAUAACAAUGCAUUUUUUCUUAGUCUACGUUUCAUCCGUUUUAGUUUUUAAUGUUAUUAUUAAGAAUUACUGUUACUAUUAAAUAUUGCUACUAUAUCUCUUUGGUUUAUAUUAGUAUCGCAUUAGAAGAACGACUGCGCUCGUGGUGGCUGGGGAGAAUGCCGUCUUUGGCAGACAGCGUGGCACCGAAGGCUGUCUAUCCUUCUUUUUUUUUUCCUCGGGCGUGGCAAUAAGGAAGUGGGCCCGCUGCUUAAGAAAACAGAGAGCCGCCAAUAUCGAGGCAGGCCCGGCCGACUGCCUGAGAAAACAGUGAACCGUUUUCGGAAUCCUGUCGAGGAUGCGAGGCGGACUCGGCUUUCCGUCAUGAAUGAAAACCUGAAUGCUCGCGAGGACGACGAGAAAUGCGACUGACGCGUCUGUAGCCAGACGUGGGUAAAACGAUAGGCUAGCUAACAAAUUUCAAAGCUUAACAUUAAAAUCAAUAGAUCAAGAUGAAAGUUAACGCACUUUGGUUAGAAAAUAAAAUGUACAAUUAAUUAAAGAUAUAAGAAUUAUAUAUAAAGAAUUAUAAUAAUAAAGAUAGUGUAGAAGUCUAUAUGAAAUUGAGAAAAUCAUAAAGUGAGUUAGUGGCAGGGAUGUGACAGGAUUUGGAAGUGGAAAGGAGACCCAGGCCCUUUAGGAUUCAAAACGAAACAGACGAUCGUGUUUCUAGGCUGUCUGCCGCAAGACAGCGUGGCACCAGCGGCCAGGGUAGGCGGUGACCGCUUAAUUAACGGCCUGACGAAAGGCAGCGGCAAUUAAUACUUCCUUCCAGGCCCUGGUGUCCCUUGGUCCAGCUUGCACGUGUGAAAUACCAGUAGGCGAUGUUUGUCACUGCGUUGUCACACUGAGAUUUCUCUUCCUAUACUCGCCACUGAGCUAAACAAUGCAGUGAUUAUGUAAACAAACACCGCUGGGUGGGAAACAAAGCAUUAUUGACCAAACGAAGUAUUGACGGUAGACUUAGCGUCGAAACUGAGCGUUUCGGCUCCUGCAGAGUCAGGUCUAAUCCAAACAGUAUUAAAAGUUCUCCAAGGUUGCUGAUGCGUGUACGAAUGAGAGACUUUCAUCCCGUGGGAGCGGGAGUUCUCCAAGGUUGCUGAUGCAUGUACGAAUGAGAGACUUUCAUCCCGUGGGAGCGUACCGCUUUUACAAGUCUGUCCUCAAUUAAACACCGUCCAAUCGCAUCCUUGCAUUCGAUCCUUGGGUUCGAUCGAUCCCUGCUUACGAAGCAGAACUCGUUAUCGCUCCUCGAGCGAUGCCAAUCCGUCUUUACGCCUAACGAGUUGCGGGAACGACAGAAAGUUCGGUGAAGGUGCAAAACGGAUACACAAUGUGUGUAUCUUUCGUGGCCAUAAUGGAGCUUAAUGGAGCUGACUGUCAGCGCGGAGUUUCUCCUUGUCUCGGUAGCAGUUCGCGAUUGGACAAUGCGUGCUCGGUAGCCAUACUGCCUCCGUUAUUUGACAAGACGUGUCCUCGCACACGUGGCCACACAUACGGCGAUCAUUGUAUUGCGAAUGCCGUAUCGUGUCAGUGUAGUGGUCGAAGGAAGAUGAAGCAGAGUUUGGAGAAAGGGUUGAAAUCGAACUAACGACUAAGUUGGCGUCAGUGGAGGUCUGGACGUCUAAAAAAAUGUUUGGGUCAUGCUUGGACUCUCAAGCAUUAAUUUCUCCGUUUCUUCUUUGAUCCUGAGUGUACUAAUAACUCUGAUAUGGAUUAUUUCUGCAUUUGGGACAUGUUGCUGACCCACCAACCUCGCAGAACUCCGGACCCGUUGGCUUGGCGGCUUCCUUCGCGACAAGCCCGUCGAUCGACGAUCCUUCGUUCAGUGACGACGACCAUCGGAGUCAAGCCAUUCUAGGAGGGCUGGUGUUUUGACACGAUGGCACCUCGGAGGAUAAUCCUUUAAACGGCCACGACGGGUGGUCCUCCGCGAGUCACCUUUCCCGCAGGACUUGGCCCGUCGCUUCCGCCUUUAAUCCCGUCGGCCAAUCCCGCGCACGAGCACUUCCUAGCGUCCUCGAAGCCGGGAAAGUCUGCGGUUAAUCCUGCGAAAGUCUGAGAGCCCCCAUACCCUGGCUUCUGUGUACUGUUGCCGAAUUACCAUCAGGAAUUGCCCGAAAAUGUGGAAAUCGGAGAUAAAGUCCGCUUCCUUUCGGGCAGUUUCUCGUCCGUCGAUGAUAGCUUGAAGAUAGAGCGUAGAUCGCGAUCGAAGUUUGUACCGAGCGAUAUAUGUAGAUUUUUCUGUGCGCUAGAACACAAUGCCGUCGUUGUCCUAGGAUUACGCGCGCACGAGUUAGGAUUCGACGGAGCGCAUGGCUAGGCUCGUAGAACCCGAUAUUCGAACAGAGAUCCAACUGUCGGACUCGAGAAUCGUAGAAACUUGUGAAGCCUCGGAUGAAAUUGUCAGGUUCGCGCUGGAUUCGAAGAGUGAAACCGAGAACUUAGUUUGUAACUUAUAAUUAGACCGAGAAUCUUUAUGCAAAAUAAAAUCUUUACGAAUGUAUGUACGUACAAAAAUUCAAGCUAAGUAGGAAUUUAUUUUAUUCUGUAAAUAUUACGAUAGGAAUUUUACUUUCGACAUUUUUUUUAUGUUUCUCAUGCUCAAUGCAUUUUGUAUUCGCAGUCCGCUUAUAAUAAAAUAGGACGAGUCACGUCAAAGUGACAAAUUGUAUUCGGUUGUCUAGGUAUCGGUAGUAAAGAAGAGCAAUAAAACACCUAUCUACAA
This is a long non-coding RNA of Hylaeus volcanicus, 5774 nucleotides long. RefSeq lists it as uncharacterized. The transcript is spliced from 7 exons. The record is from RefSeq and is a predicted model, not a curated record. NCBI's taxonomy places the organism in Eukaryota, Metazoa, Arthropoda, Insecta, Hymenoptera, Colletidae.